This 397-nucleotide ribosomal RNA is filed under the name uncultured bacterium. Its description in RNAcentral is "partial 16S ribosomal RNA". It matches the Rfam family "Bacterial small subunit ribosomal RNA", at positions 523 to 918 of the family's 1533-position model. The record is from RNAcentral.
AUACGUAGGUGACAAGCGUUAUCCGGAUUUACUGGGUGUAAAGGGCGUGUAGGCGGUUUAGCAAGUCAGAAGUGAAAUUCCCGGGCUUAACUUGGGCGCUGCUUCUGAAACUGCUUUACUUGAGUGCUGGAGAGGAUAGUGGAAUUCCUAGUGUAGCGGUAAAAUGCGCAUAUAUUAGGAGGAACACCGGUGGCGAAGGCGGCUAUCUGGACAGUAACUGACGCUGAGGCUCGAAAGCACGGGGAGCAAACAGGAUUAGAUACCCUGGUAGUCCGUGCCGUAAACGAUGAAUACUAGGUGUAGGGGGUAUCGAUUCCCUCUGUGCCGCAGUUAACACAUUAAGUAUUCCACCUGGGGAGUACGGCAGCGAGGCUGAAACUCAAAUGAAUUGACGUGG